GGAAAUGGUUCCAAUCGUUUUUCCACCAUUUUUUUCCAUAGGGGAUUUUAGAAACACUUAAAACAAGGACUGUGUUUUGUGUAGGCUUGAUAACUGUGAAUCUCUCAAGGACAAGGUGACUUUUAUCAAUAUAUUUGCCGAUAUUUACAGGCAAAAAAAUGAAAUGCUAAUUAGCUGCUAACUACAAAUACCAUGGUGAUCUGGACGAGACUUGAGGCAAAGGGCUCAUCUGUGAAAGAGACCCUUGUCUCAAUAACAAAAAGUUUGCUGAUGACGGUGGUAGGCCUGAUCACAGACGAUAAUGAGACGGCCUAUAGGGAGGAGGUCAGAGACCUGGCAUUGUGGUGCCAGGCCAAACAACCACUCCCUCAUCGUCAGCUGAUUGUGGACUACAGGAAACAGAGGGCCGAGCACGCCCCAUUCACAUCGACGGGGCUGCAGUGGAGCAGAUGUCCAUCCGUCUCCCCUGUAGCAAUCCUGUGACUUCCUCCCGUCCACCCAACACAUUCCAAAGCCAUCGGGCUCCUACAGAUAACCAUUAACUUCUGAUGUAAAAACAGUCUCUGUCACUCCCCAGAUACUAUAUUGCUGAGUAUAACAAUGUUCCAAGUUUAACCCAGACUCCAACAGCGGGCACGACAUCACCUCUUCCCCCUCAGGAGGCUGAAUAGAUUUGGCAUGGGCCCUCAGAUCCUCAAAACCUUCUACAGCUGCAUCAUUGAGAGCAUCUUGACUGGCUGCAUCACCUCUUGGUAUGGCAACUGCUUGGCAUCCGACCUCAAGGCCCAUAUAGAGGGUACUGCAGACGUCCCAGUACAUCACUGGGGCCGAGCUCCCUGCCAUCCAGGACCAGGCGGUGUCAGAGGAGGGCCUUAUAAAUUGUCUAAAGUUACCUAAGUCAUAGACUGUUCUCUCUGCUACCGCAAGGCAAGCGGUACCAUUGCACUUUUUUUUGACUCAUCACAAAUGCUGCUGCAACUGUUUAUUAUCUAUCCUGUUGCCAAGUCACUUUAUUUCUAGUUGUUUGUACAUUCCUACCUCAAUCACCUCGUACCCUGCAUAUCGACUUGGUACUGAUACCCAGUCUAUGUAGCCAAGUUACGGUUAAUCAUGUAUCCCUUUUAUUAUUCAGGGUUUUUAUUCUUCUAUUAUUUCUCUCUUUGUCUCUGCAUUGUGAUGCCCAAAACAGUGUUCAAAAUCCAGUUUGAUUUAGCCAGUCUAAGUAUCUUUCUUACAUUGGGUUUUCAAGGGAGAGCGUUCUUUUUUUUGGCAACUUAUUCCAUUGGGCUGCAAUAGCAUCUGCAAUACGUUGGAGCAAUUUAUUCUAUUAAACUGUAAUACCGUCUGCAAUACGCUGGAGCAACUUAUUCUAUUAAACUGCAAUACCGUCUGCAAUACGCUGGAGCUUCAAGUCUUCAGGGACACCCCAAACCCUGGGCCUCUGGAGGAGACACACCCUAUACACAACGAAGCUGUGGUAGAAGAAUACGGAUAGGGGACAUAAUCCAAGGAAGUGCUGUUCCAAUCCCUGUUAAGUUCUGGGUGCGAAAGCAGAGCCUUCACUCUGGCGAGCCACAGAGGACUGUAUAUAGUCCAGCUCUGUGACACCAGGAGUGUGAGCGUUUAUUUGAGCUAUUUCGUACUGUAGGUCUUAACAAAAAUUGAGUGAACAUCACAAGUUUACUGAUAACUGCUUUAAUGAGGGAAAAUGCACUUGAUAUGUGGUUGUCUCGCCCAGCCAUCUUAAGCUGAAUGCACUGUACGUCGCUCUGGAUAAGACCGUCUGCUAAAAUGACUAAAUCUAAACAACAUGGUGACAACAUGCAGUGGCUUAGCUGCAGAGUGGAACACAAAGACCGAUAACAGUGCAACACUGUCUAUAUCUAUUCAUAAAAGCCCCGCAAACAAUUUGAUGACAUUCCAAUGUUAUAUCAUUAUAAUACAUAAACAUUUUAUCAUAGUUCCAAUAAAUGCCAAAAGAACAACAAAAAAUACCAUACUGUAACAUCCGCAAUAGCAUUAUGCCUAUGACAUGUUCACAAUAGAAUUGAAGGCUAUUUGUAGGAUAAUUCUACAAGAAAUAUAAAAUGAUUACACUCAAAAUAUAAAACGACUCAUUUUCAAGUAAUAUCCACUAGAGGGCAGCAUCGUUUCAAAUAGGACAUUUAUGAAUGUGUAUCGGGAAUGAUCAGUUCACCAAGAACACACUAGAACAAAGCAAUGUAAAUGAAAUUAUAAUUUGACAUUUCUUUUUCAUAUAGUCAUGUUUAUAAGUGUCACAAUCCAUCAUCUGCUGUUGCUAAAUCCAUCUAUGAAGAGAAAGCCUUUAAUGAACAUUUAGCGAAAUAUUAAUUUGACAUGUUAUUCAUUAGGGUUAGUCUAGAAACGCUUGAGCUGAGGUAAUGGAAAUGUCAGCAUUGUUCUACAAAAUCACGGAAAUAAUUCUGCCAGUCCUUUCUCCUCUAUAAGCCAACAUCACAGUCAUAAGAACGCAUUUCCCUCAACAUCAUCAACACCAUUAUCUUUUCACAAUAUGUUCAUUUCCUCCCUCAGAGUCUCAUCUGAGAAACCAUUCUGUUGAGUGAGUUCUCUUUAUAGGGCUAUUGUCAUUUCCAUUUCCUAGUUUUGAUUAAAUCAAAUAAGAAGUAGACGAAUACGUUUUAUCCCCAGAAUUUACCAACAACUUCACAGAGGAAAGAGAUUGCUUCUAUUGGUCUGUACUGUGUUUCACAUUUAUUCUAAUGAUAUGUAUUGUACUGAAAUGUUUUGAUACAAAGUCACUAUGGCAUUUUGGCUUCACCACAAAACACCACCACCCUCUUCCUGAGGUGUGACACAGUGAGAACAGAUCAAUGGCACCUCUGUUUGGAGACCUGUGGUCUCGAUCUAAUGUUGUGUCACACCCUGAUCAGUUUCACCUGUCCUCAUUAUUGUCUCCACCCCCUCCAGGUGUUGCUUGUUAUCCCUGGUGUAUAUAUCCCUGUGUUUCCUGGCUCUCUGUGCCAGUUCGUCUUGUACGUUCCAAGUCAACCAGCUUGGUUUUCCUGUGCGCCUGCUUUUUCUAUUGUCUUUUACUAGUCCUCCCGGUUUGGACCCUUGCCUGUUUUCUCAACUCUGUACCAGCCUGCCUGACCAUUCUGCCUGCCCUGACCUCGAGCCUGCUUGCCACA
Salmo salar (Atlantic salmon) is the source of this 3170-nucleotide non-coding RNA. Lineage: Eukaryota; Metazoa; Chordata; Actinopteri; Salmoniformes; Salmonidae. The record is from RefSeq and is a predicted model, not a curated record.